AGUGCAAAAGUGAAAAGUUGUUGAUGAAAUGUAAGAUUACUAAGCUUGGUCUUUCCGUUUCCUACAUGUUUACAACUUUACAAGCCUUCGAAAGUGACAUUAGCUCUUUGCAAUUGCCAAUUGCAGAGAUCCCAGAUGCGAAAAUGGCCAAAACUGAAAAUGGCAAUGCUGCGCCUUUUACUUUAAACAUGGCUGCUGCCAGUGCUGCCUGCUGACAGCCUGACAUUCAACGAGAUCGUUAUGGUGGUAUUAAAAUGUACCGGUACUGCGCCAUUUUCCAUUAUGAAAGUUAAGUUAAAAAUAUUUUGUUUCGUUACGAUAUUGUAUGGUUGCUGAACGUAAAAUUUUUACAUGUUUAUUCACAGGAAAUCUAGCCUGUAAUUUCAAAUCUGCCAAAUCACCUUAUCAGUUGUCAGUUGUCACGUCAUUCACGUGACCUGAAACCAUCCUGAAACUCAUGUCGUUGCUUGCUACUGGUAUCGGUUGUAUGUACAACCCAUGCAAAAACACUUGACAGCAAAACAUCUGAGUAUGAGCUGCAGCCAGUUGGUGAAGGUGUACACAAACCCAAAUCUUGCAGGGGACACUGACUGAAUUGAUUGACCCGGCAAAUGGCGGUUCUUUGCAUUAUUUCCAUCCGACUACUUGUCCAGUCGUUUCAACUGAAGAAUUUUUGCAGCGGAUGGUGGAAUAUACGCGUAGAAUAUAAUUACAAAGUAUUAGGUCUGGAAGAAGAAAAGGUGGAAAGAACAGAACCCACUUCCAAAGAAGAAGAAACGAAAUGAGCUUUUCUCGGUUGGCCUGUGCCGUUUCCCCUGACCAAACUUCUUUGAUUCUUCUCUAUGCGCACCUCUGCUUGGAUCUUGACGUCCAGCUAGAAGAUGCCGUUCGACUCCUUCAGCAAGUUGAAACGCUGCACGAUCAUCGACUAAUGGAAAAAUGCAUUCAGAAAUUAAACCAGAAAAUGUCACUAGUCACAAAAAAAGUUAUCCACCUUCGAUCAUCAUUCGUUAAAUACGCGGUGGGACUUGUUAUGAUAUACCAACAUAGCGCUUGUAAGCCACCGUUACUGUGUGUAAUCGAAUCCUGGACACACCAUGAUCCACCGUAGGAGAAUAUUUUGUAACGUCCUUUUCGACGAUGGGGAAUUCUUCCUUCGUUGCUGAAGAUAAUUUAAAACUCAACACUGAUGUGUCGUUCGUCAGCAGCCAUCCGAAUAUCGGGCUUUCUUUUGAACGUUUCAACGGCCGCCGAUACUCCAAUGCUGAGAUGAUCUUCCCAGAGGAUGAAGCCUUUGCUCUUUCCCUGGUCGGAUAAAAUUAUACGUAUUAUCGUAUCGUAUUAUGUAAUUGUCUGCCUUUUACGUACAUUAGCUGCUAAAUAGUUUCGUCAAAUUUUACGAGAAAUCAAAAAAUUAUUUAGGCCAUUCAGGUUGUUUUUCUUAAAUUCAACCAAUGUACAACUGUAUGUAAAAUUGUAAAUCAGGUUCUUGUUUCACCUUUUCAUUCAUCAUUUUGUAGCUUAAAUCUUGUGUUAUUUUGCAAACAAUUUUAACUUUCACUUUACUUAAAAAUUCCAGACAGAACUCCCUCCUACCUCUGGGUAUCAAUCUGGGUCGCCUCUGACCCCAAUUAAGAAGUAAAGGCCCCCUGUGUAAGAAAGGUAGGUAAAGGAAGGAAUCCAACAUAGAAGACUUUAAACGUAAACAGAAAUCUAAAAGAUUUAUUUUGUAACAACUUACAAGUGAUUUUUGUGCUACAAAAUAGCACUUAUAAACCAAUAAAAUCAGACAAGGAAGAGCAUUCACAAAGACAAA
Molecule: long non-coding RNA, 1816 nt
Filed under: Daphnia pulex (common water flea)
Lineage: Eukaryota; Metazoa; Arthropoda; Branchiopoda; Diplostraca; Daphniidae
Description: uncharacterized LOC124196511, transcript variant X3
Source: RNAcentral